Molecule: microRNA, 22 nt
Filed under: Euprymna scolopes
Lineage: Eukaryota; Metazoa; Mollusca; Cephalopoda; Sepiida; Sepiolidae
Description: Esc-Mir-2-o47a-v1_3p (mature (guide))
Source: RNAcentral
UCACAGCUAGCUUUGAUGAGCU